GUCUCUCUGGCUUAUGUUUAUAGAGAGUCUGACCUGCCCAGUGAUUAAUUUUUUUUAACGGCCGCAGUACCCUGACUGUGCAAAGGUAGCAUAAUAAAUUGCCUUUUAAUUGAAGGCUGGUAUGAAAGGUUUGACGAAAGCAUUACUGUCUCAUUUAUUUUUUCUAAAAAUUGUUUUUUAAGUUAAAAAGCUUAAAUUUUAUUGAAAGACGAGAAGACCCUAUCGAGCUUAAAAGAAAUGUAUAAAUUAUAGAUAUGCUCUGGAGCUUAUAAAUUUUAACAGAAUUUUGGUUGGGGCGACCGUGGAGUAAAGAAAUCCUCCAUUAAAGCAACUAAAAAUUAUAGUUUUAGAUCCAGUUUUGAAAAUACUGAUAAAAGGAAUUAGUUACCGUAGGGAUAACAGCGUAAUUCUAUUAGAGAGAUCUUAUCGAAAAUAGAGAUUGCGACCUCGAUGUUGGAUUAAAAAUUACAGAAAGGUGCAGAAGCUUUUAUGUGUUGGUCUGUUCGACCAUUAAAUUUUU
This 520-nucleotide ribosomal RNA is filed under the name Japonia sp. MS-2010. RNAcentral's name for it is "partial 16S ribosomal RNA". It matches the Rfam family "Bacterial large subunit ribosomal RNA", at positions 1819 to 2597 of the family's 2925-position model. Lineage: Eukaryota; Metazoa; Mollusca; Gastropoda; Architaenioglossa; Cyclophoridae. The record is from RNAcentral.